Molecule: long non-coding RNA, 420 nt
Organism: Hippocampus zosterae (dwarf seahorse)
Lineage: Eukaryota; Metazoa; Chordata; Actinopteri; Syngnathiformes; Syngnathidae
Exons: 2
Source: RefSeq, a predicted model, not a curated record
CUUCGCGCAUGCGCGCGUGAAUAAUCACAGUGCAACGUAUAAAGCUGCCACUUGAUGGAAACUUUUGACAUGCUGUAGGGAGGCGUCUGAGUCGCGAGCACGUAAGUCGGUGAUGUCAUCUCGCAGAAAUGAAAGCACUCAAAGCGGAUGCGAUUGAUUUGCCGUGUGGAUUGAUUGUUGGAUGGGUUAUUUGAUUGCGGUUCCUUUUUGUUCGCAUUAGCUCAAUGUCCAUCCUCUGUAGAAAUGAAGACAAUUCAUAGUUGCUGUUUGUAACCUAACAUCCGAAGUGUACUCCGAUUUGUGAGCAAAACCCGCAUGGUCCUGCGUCGAGAACGUCCAUGAUGGGGACAAAACAUCUUCUCUUGUACAUCUUGUAUAUUUCCCCAUUAUGGGACAAAUAAAGGAUAUCAACAAUUCUCA